This 300-nucleotide long non-coding RNA is filed under the name Elaeis guineensis (African oil palm). Its description in RNAcentral is "long non-coding RNA (EGUI_LNC007907)". Lineage: Eukaryota; Viridiplantae; Streptophyta; Magnoliopsida; Arecales; Arecaceae. The record is from RNAcentral.
UCUUAAAACAGUAUUCGACACGCUUCACAUUUGAUCAUUUUUUAUUUUUUAUUUUUUAUAAGUUAUUUACAAUUUUUACUCUCAAAAUUUUUAUUAAUUUUUUUAAAUCAUAUCUGAAAUUUUAAGUAUAGUUGCAACACGUACAAGUAUAACAGCAAACAUCGUAUCAAGAAACAUAAAUGUUCUGGAAAGAAUAAUGGCAAAUGUAGAUAUAUAAGACUCGAUAUUACACACCAAAACUCACAAUAUGAUGCAUUAACGAUUCGAAAAAUAUUUUUUGAAAGAAACAAUGAUGCCCUC